RNAcentral lists this transfer RNA (77 nucleotides) under Escherichia coli. Its description in RNAcentral is "tRNA-Val". It matches the Rfam family "tRNA". Rfam says of the family: Transfer RNA (tRNA) molecules are approximately 80 nucleotides in length. Their secondary structure includes four short double-helical elements and three loops (D, anti-codon, and T loops). Lineage: Bacteria; Pseudomonadati; Pseudomonadota; Gammaproteobacteria; Enterobacterales; Enterobacteriaceae. RNAcentral also lists the same sequence under 3 other names. The record is from RNAcentral.
GCGUUCAUAGCUCAGUUGGUUAGAGCACCACCUUGACAUGGUGGGGGUCGUUGGUUCGAGUACAAUUGAACGCACCA